Molecule: non-coding RNA, 298 nt
Organism: Pelobates cultripes (western spadefoot toad)
Lineage: Eukaryota; Metazoa; Chordata; Amphibia; Anura; Pelobatidae
Source: the annotation of a GenBank genome assembly
AGCCCGUGCUCCUCCUGGACCUGACAGUGGGUGGGGUAGGGUGAGGUACUGCGUCUUGGGCCAAGGGUGGGUCGUCCCAUUAGGCUUCUGGUGUCUCCUCCUGGGGGUCGUCAGUUCCUCCCCCCAUGGUCAAAUGCACAGUCCGAAAUGCCUCCGUUCCCACCCGUGCCAGCCAGGGUGUCCAUGUGUCUAAGUAUGUCUGCAUUCGGUCUUGGGCUGAGUACCAGAUUUCCUCUGUUACUCGUAACUCCUCCAUUCUAGUAAACCACAGGGAAAGCUUUGGGGUUGUGUCUUUUUU